UACGUAGGGGGCUAGCGUUGUCCGGAUUUAUUGGGCGUAAAGAGCGUGUAGGCGGUCAGGUAGGUCUGCUGUGAAAACUCGAGGCUCAACCUCGAGACGUCGGCGGAAACCAUCUGGCUAGAGUCCGGAAGAGGAGAGUGGAAUUCCUGGUGUAGCGGUGAAAUGCGCAGAUAUCAGGAAGAACACCCGUGGCGAAGGCGGCUCGCUGGGACGGUACUGACGCUGAGACGCGAAAGCGUGGGGAGCGAACAGG
This 253-nucleotide ribosomal RNA is filed under the name uncultured bacterium. Its description in RNAcentral is "partial 16S ribosomal RNA". It matches the Rfam family "Bacterial small subunit ribosomal RNA", at positions 524 to 776 of the family's 1533-position model. The record is from RNAcentral.